RNAcentral lists this ribosomal RNA (252 nucleotides) under uncultured Bacteroidales bacterium. RNAcentral's name for it is "partial 16S ribosomal RNA". It matches the Rfam family "Bacterial small subunit ribosomal RNA", at positions 524 to 776 of the family's 1533-position model. The record is from RNAcentral. Lineage: Bacteria; Pseudomonadati; Bacteroidota; Bacteroidia; Bacteroidales.
UACGGAGGAUGCGAGCGUUAUCCGGAUUUAUUGGGUUUAAAGGGUGCGUAGGCGGGAUGCCAAGUCAGCGGUCAAAUACGGGGGCUCAACCUGCGUCCGCCGUUGAAACUGGCGUUCUUGAGUGGAAGAGAAGUAUGCGGAAUGCGUGGUGUAGCGGUGAAAUGCAUAGAUAUCACGCAGAACCCCGAUUGCGAAGGCAGCAUGCCGGCUUCCGACUGACGCUGAAGCACGAAAGCGUGGGGAUCGAACAGG